This 492-nucleotide ribosomal RNA is filed under the name uncultured bacterium. Its description in RNAcentral is "partial 16S ribosomal RNA". It matches the Rfam family "Bacterial small subunit ribosomal RNA", at positions 29 to 507 of the family's 1533-position model. The record is from RNAcentral.
AGUGAACGCUGGCGGUAGGCCUAACACAUGCAAGUCGAACGGCAGCACAGUAAGAGCUUGCUCUUACGGGUGGCGAGUGGCGGACGGGUGAGGAAUACAUCGGAAUCUACUUUUUCGUGGGGGAUAACGUAGGGAAACUUACGCUAAUACCGCAUACGCCCUACGGGAGAAAGCAGGGGAUCUUCGGACCUUGCUCGAUUGAAUGAGCCGAUGCCGGAUUAGCUAGUUGGCGGGGUAAAGGCCAACCAAGGCCACGAUCCGUAGCUGGUCUCAGAGGAUGAUCAGCCACACUCGAAUCGAGACACGGUCCGGGCUCCUACGGGAGGCAGCAGUGGGGAAUAUUGGACAAUGGGCGCAAGCCUGAUCCACCCAUACCGCGUAUGUGAAGAAGACCUUCGGGUUGUAAAGCCCUUUUGUUGGGAAAGAAAAGCAGCAGGUUAAUACCCCGCUGUUCUGCCGGUACCCAACGAAUAAGCACCGGCUAACUUCGUG